This 501-nucleotide ribosomal RNA is filed under the name uncultured bacterium. Its description in RNAcentral is "partial 16S ribosomal RNA". It matches the Rfam family "Bacterial small subunit ribosomal RNA", at positions 30 to 523 of the family's 1533-position model. The record is from RNAcentral.
AUUGAACGCUGGCGGCAGGCUUAGCACAUGCAAGUCGAGCGGGGGAAGGUAGCUUGCUACUGGACCUAGCGGCGGACGGGUGAGUAAUGCUUAGGAAUCUGCCUAUUAGUGGGGGACAACAUCUCGAAAGGGAUGCUAAUACCGCAUACGUCCUACGGGAGAAAGCAGGGGAUCUUCGGACCUUGCGCUAAUAGAUGAGCCUAAGUCGGAUUAGCUAGUUGGUGGGGUAAAGGCCUACCAAGGCGACGAUCUGUAGCGGGUCUGAGAGGAUGAUCGGCCACACUGGGACUGAGACACGGCCCAGACUCCUACGGGAGGCAGCAGUGGGGAAUAUUGGACAAGGGGGGGAACCCUGAUCCAGCCAUGCCGCGUGUGUGAAGAAGGCCUUAUGGUUGUAAAGCACUUUAAGCGAGGAGGAGGCUACUUUAGUUAAUACCUAGAGAUAGUGGACGUUACUCGCAGAGUAAGCACCGGCUAACUCUGUGCCAGCCGCCGCCGUAA